Non-coding RNA from Vicia faba (fava bean), 243 nucleotides. The record is from the annotation of a GenBank genome assembly. NCBI's taxonomy places the organism in Eukaryota, Viridiplantae, Streptophyta, Magnoliopsida, Fabales, Fabaceae.
AUGGAAACAAGUUCAUCUCCUAGAAGAAGCAAAACAAAUGGAGGAGGGUUAUUUUCAUGUUGGAGGGGUCUCAAAUUCAAGAUUCCAUGGAAGAGAAGAACAAACAACACUUAUAAGUAUGACCCUUUAAGCUAUGCUCAAAAUUUUGAUGAUGGCAAUUGGGAAGAAGACGAUGAAGAAUCUUUAGGCCGCGGUUUCUCGGCUAGAUAUGCUGCACCUUCGGCUAAAACAUUCAGGCAAUGA